Molecule: long non-coding RNA, 1185 nt
Organism: Talpa occidentalis (Iberian mole)
Lineage: Eukaryota; Metazoa; Chordata; Mammalia; Eulipotyphla; Talpidae
Exons: 5
Source: RefSeq, a predicted model, not a curated record
CUGUCAUAGUCAACAACUGAAAAGUCAUCACACAUCAAAUUUGCAGUUUCCUCCAAGGAACACUUUGGUGACAACAGUCCCUCCAAAAUCUAUAUAAAUUGGUUAAGACCUUUGUUCAAGAGAAGAGGGUGUCUUCCCCUAUGAUGAGCCCCUGGAGCCUCUGCAGAUGGAGAGUGGAGCCUUUGGGAGGUGUGGGCUUCAGAGCCAUGCUUUGGCACUGACGGGUUAGAAUGUCCCUCAGGGGGACUAAAGGAAAACUGGCUGGCAUUGGCUCCAGGCUCAGCAUUCAUCAGACCCUCCCCACCUGGGCGAGGAGAUCAUCUCCACUGGCCACACGGACAAGUCCACCCAGGGCUGAAAGAGAAGCCGAGACUGUGUCACUGGUCUCCAUGGUGAAACGCCUGCUUGAAGAGAACAGAGCUCUCCAAAGUGGGCUUGGACAGCGCCCGUGGAGCAGGACCUGCAGGUGCACAGGGCUGCUCCCCUGCCUGUCGCAGGCCUCCCGAAAAGAAGCCUAUUGUACAAGGCCUGGCCCUACCCUUCGCUUUCCAGAGGAUCCCAGGCACUCAGGCCUCAGAGGAAGAGGCAGGAGAGCACGAUUACUGACACGACAGGACGAGCACCUUCAAUAUAUGUUAUUCCAUUACAGUAAUUAGGAGGAAGCAAGAAAAAAAAAAAUCAAUGGAACCGAGAAGAAAGCCCCAAAUCAGGCUGUGGAUAAACUGAUGGAAAGUUGAGAGCCUGAGACUCAGAAGGCAACUUCUGCAGGUGACUCCUGCUGCUGGGAACUGGAAGGAGAGCAGUGCACUGGAGCACUGGAGCAAGCACAAUGGACUCUGGCUUCACCUCCAAGGACACGUACCUGAGCCACUUUAACCCACGGGAUUAUCUAGAAAAAUAUUACAACUUUGGGUCCAAACAAUCAGCAGAAAAUAAGAUUCUUAGACAUGUUCUGCAAAGCCUUUUCAGGAUAUUCUGUGUAGAUGGCGUGAAGGGAGACCUCCUGAUUGACAUUGGCUCUGGACCCACCAUCUAUCAGCUCCUCUCUGCUUGUGAGUCCUUCAAGGAGAUCAUCGCCUCUGACUACACUGACCAGAACCUGAAAGAGCUGGAGAAAUGGCUGAAGAAGGAGCCAGGGGCCUUUGACUGGACCCCAGUAGUGAACUACGUGUGUGAGCUCGAAGG